GGUUAAGCGACUAAGCGUACACGGUGGAUGCCCUGGCAGUCAGAGGCGAUGAAGGACGUGCUAAUCUGCGAUAAGCGCCGGUAAGGUGAUAUGAACCGUUAUAACCGGCGAUUUCCGAAUGGGGAAACCCAGUGUGACUCGUCACACUAUCAUUAACUGAAUCCAUAGGUUAAUGAGGCGAACCGGGGGAACUGAAACAUCUAAGUACCCCGAGGAAAAGAAAUCAACCGAGAUUCCCCCAGUAGCGGCGAGCGAACGGGGAGGAGCCCAGAGCCUGAAUCAGCAUGUGUGUUAGUGGAAGCGUCUGGAAAGGCGCGCGAUACAGGGUGACAGCCCCGUACACAAAAGCGCAUGUGCUGUGAGCUCGAUGAGUAGGGCGGGACACGUGGUAUCCUGUCUGAAUAUGGGGGGACCAUCCUCCAAGGCUAAAUACUCCUGACUGACCGAUAGUGAACCAGUACCGUGAGGGAAAGGCGAAAAGAACCCCGGCGAGGGGAGUGAAAAAGAACCUGAAACCGUGUACGUACAAGCAGUGGGAGCACAGGUUUACCUGUGUGACUGCGUACCUUUUGUAUAAUGGGUCAGCGACUUAUAUUCUGUAGCAAGGUUAACCGAAUAGGGGAGCCGGAGGGAAACCGAGUCUUAACCGGGCGUUAAGUUGCAGGGUAUAGACCCGAAACCCGGUGAUCUAGCCAUGGGCAGGUUGAAGGUUGGGUAACACUAACUGGAGGAAUGCGAACCGACUAAUGUUGAAAAAUUAGCGGAUGACCUGUGGCUGGGGGUGAAAGGCCAAUCAAACCGGGAGAUAGCUGGUUCUCCCCGAAAGCUAUUUAGGUAGCGCCUCGUGAAUUCAUCUCCGGGGGUAGAGCACUGUUUCGGCUAGGGGGCCAUCCCGGCUUACCAACCCGAUGCAAACUGCGAAUACCGGAGAAUGUUAUCACGGGAGACACACGGCGGGUGCUAACGUCCGUCGUGAAGAGGGAAACAACCCAGACCGCCAGCUAAGGUCCCAAAGUCAUGGUUAAGUGGGAAACGAUGUGGGAAGGCCCAGACAGCCAGGAUGUUGGCUUAGAAGCAGCCAUCAUUUAAAGAAAGCGUAAUAGCUCACUGGUCGAGUCGGCCUGCGCGGAAGAUGUAACGGGGCUAAACCAUGCACCGAAGCUGCGGCAGCGAACGUAUCACUUAAAGCGAUUCAGCGGGUUACGAUUGACGGAGCGAAGCGACGUCAAAGCGUAUACAAAGUCGAGUCGGUUUAAGGAUACGUUCGUUGGGUAGGGGAGCGUUCUGUAAGCCUGUGAAGGUGUGUCGUGAGGCAUGCUGGAGGUAUCAGAAGUGCGAAUGCUGACAUAAGUAACGAUAAAGCGGGUGAAAAGCCCGCUCGCCGGAAGACCAAGGGUUCCUGUCCAACGUUAAUCGGGGCAGGGUGAGUCGACCCCUAAGGCGAGGCCGAAAGGCGUAGUCGAUGGGAAACGGGUUAAUAUUCCCGUACUUGGUGUUACUGCGAAGGGGGGACGGAGAAGGCUAUGUUGGCCGGGCGACGGUUGUCCCGGUUUAAGCGUGUAGGUGUGUGUUCCAGGUAAAUCCGGUUCACUUUAACACUGAGGCGUGAUGACGAGGCACUACGGUGCUGAAGCAACAAAUGCCCUGCUUCCAGGAAAAGCCUCUAAGCAUCAGGUAACAUCAAAUCGUACCCCAAACCGACACAGGUGGUCAGGUAGAGAAUACCAAGGCGCUUGAGAGAACUCGGGUGAAGGAACUAGGCAAAAUGGUGCCGUAACUUCGGGAGAAGGCACGCUGACAUGUAGGUGAAGUGAUUUACUCAUGGAGCUGAAGUCAGUCGAAGAUACCAGCUGGCUGCAACUGUUUAUUAAAAACACAGCACUGUGCAAACACGAAAGUGGACGUAUACGGUGUGACGCCUGCCCGGUGCCGGAAGGUUAAUUGAUGGGGUCAGCGCAAGCGAAGCUCCUGAUCGAAGCCCCGGUAAACGGCGGCCGUAACUAUAACGGUCCUAAGGUAGCGAAAUUCCUUGUCGGGUAAGUUCCGACCUGCACGAAUGGCGUAAUGAUGGCCAGGCUGUCUCCACCCGAGACUCAGUGAAAUUGAACUCGCUGUGAAGAUGCAGUGUACCCGCGGCAAGACGGAAAGACCCCGUGAACCUUUACUAUAGCUUGACACUGAACAUUGAGCCUUGAUGUGUAGGAUAGGUGGGAGGCUUUGAAGCGUGGACGCCAGUCUGCGUGGAGCCGACCUUGAAAUACCACCCUUUAAUGUUUGAUGUUCUAACGUGGACCCGUAAUCCGGGUUGCGGACAGUGUCUGGUGGGUAGUUUGACUGGGGCGGUCUCCUCCUAAAGAGUAACGGAGGAGCACGAAGGUUGGCUAAUCCUGGUCGGACAUCAGGAGGUUAGUGCAAUGGCAUAAGCCAGCUUGACUGCGAGCGUGACGGCGCGAGCAGGUGCGAAAGCAGGUCAUAGUGAUCCGGUGGUUCUGAAUGGAAGGGCCAUCGCUCAACGGAUAAAAAGGUACUCCGGGGAUAACAGGCUGAUACCGCCCAAGAGUUCAUAUCGACGGCGGUGUUUGGCACCUCGAUGUCGGCUCAUCACAUCCUGGGGCUGAAGUAGGUCCCAAGGGUAUGGCUGUUCGCCAUUUAAAGUGGUACGCGAGCUGGGUUUAGAACGUCGUGAGACAGUUCGAUUCCUAUCUGCCGUGGGCGCUGGAGAACUGAGGGGGCUGCUCCUAGUACGAGAGGACCGGAGUGGACGCAUCACUGGUGUUCGGGUUGUCAUGCCAAUGGCACUGCCCGGUAGCUAAAUGCGGAAGAGAUAAGUGCUGAAAGCAUCUAAGCACGAAACUUGCCCCGAGAUGAGUUCUCCCUGAGACUUAGAGUCUCCUGAAGGAACGUUGAAGACGACGACGUUGAUAGGCCGGGUGUGUAAGCGCAGCGAUGCGUUGAGCUAACCGGUACUAAUGAACCGUGAGGCUUAACCUU
Molecule: ribosomal RNA, 2991 nt
Filed under: Salmonella enterica subsp. enterica serovar Infantis
Lineage: Bacteria; Pseudomonadati; Pseudomonadota; Gammaproteobacteria; Enterobacterales; Enterobacteriaceae
Description: 23S ribosomal RNA
Rfam family: Bacterial large subunit ribosomal RNA
Source: RNAcentral